This 464-nucleotide ribosomal RNA is filed under the name uncultured Klebsiella sp. RNAcentral describes it as "bacterial SSU rRNA". It matches the Rfam family "Bacterial small subunit ribosomal RNA", at positions 338 to 795 of the family's 1533-position model. The record is from RNAcentral. Lineage: Bacteria; Pseudomonadati; Pseudomonadota; Gammaproteobacteria; Enterobacterales; Enterobacteriaceae.
CCUACGGGGGGCUGCAGUGGGGAAUAUUGCACAAUGGGCGCAAGCCUGAUGCAGCCAUGCCGCGUGUGUGAAGAAGGCCUUCGGGUUGCAAAGCACUUUCAGCGGGGAGGAAGGCGUUAAGGUUAAUAACCUUGGCGAUUGACGUUACCCGCAGAAGAAGCACCGGCUAACUCCGUGCCAGCAGCCGCGGUAAUACGGAGGGUGCAAGCGUUAAUCGGAAUUACUGGGCGUAAAGCGCACGCAGGCGGUCUGUCAAGUCGGAUGUGAAAUCCCCGGGCUCAACCUGGGAACUGCAUUCGAAACUGGCAGGCUAGAGUCGUGUAGAGGGGGGUAGAAUUCCAGGUGUAGCGGUGAAAUGCGUAGAGAUCUGGAGGAAUACCGGUGGCGAAGGCGGCCCCCUGGACAAAGACUGACGCGCAGGUGCGAAAGCGUGGGGAGCAAACAGGAUUAGAUACCUGGUAGUC